This 1068-nucleotide long non-coding RNA is filed under the name Equus caballus (horse). RNAcentral's name for it is "lncRNA (ENSECAG00000048805.1)". Lineage: Eukaryota; Metazoa; Chordata; Mammalia; Perissodactyla; Equidae. The record is from RNAcentral.
CCUCUCCAAAGCAGCCUCGCUAUUCAAUUUCGUCCUUCAACAUGUGUGUACCUGGAACCCAAUGGAUCGGUGGUGAUUCCAAGCUAUGCCGCUCCCCAGCUACUUACAAUAGGGACUUUUGCAUCUCUAGCUCAUCUCAUGGCAAAUAUUCCACCAUUUGCAAGUUAGGCACGCAGUCUGUGCAUGUACCAAGCGUGUGGCUUUCUGCAUAUGUCUGCACAUCAUUUUUCAGGAAACUCUAUUUCACACUACACCAGCUUGAUGAGUAGCUGUUGUUCACACCCACUGAGAAAUAACUCCAUGUGAGAAUAAUACCUUUACAACUUUGAAAUGUCCUCAGACAGACUUCUCAUCUCCAGGCCAUCAACCUGCUGUGAACUCUCAUCUUGACUUUUCACACUUACAGGCAACAGUCGUGCAACAUACUGUCAAACAAUAUGAAGGUUUGGGAAACGUGAAGGAGUGCAAAAUUAAAUUGGAGCCUGAACAUCUUUCUAGUUCAGGGUAAUAUUUAAUAAUUUAAAAAAAUCCACCACACAUGCAAGUAUAUUUGUACUUGGUGUCUAUUUAAACUUCUGCUCCGUGUCUCGGAAGCAUGUUUAGCCUUCUGAUUCUCCUUCACACUCUUUUUGUUGAAGAUUGGUGUAUGAACUCAGCAUCUGAGGUCCCUGUCCUCAAGACACUUUCUACUUACAUCUUCCUUAAGCUCUCUGAAGGCCAGCUACUCAUCUGUAUCUCCAGCACCAGGCACAUCCCAGGUUUCAAUGGAAUGAAAAGAAUUUAGAGCUGGAAAGUGGUCAAGAGCCUCAAGCCUGUUUCUGAGUGUUGGAUCAGAAUGAUGUGAAUACAGGGAGCGGUAUACAGCUGCCAAGAGGGACGGCAUCUGGCUCAUAGAGGUGUAUGUGUCUUCCAGGUCUUUACUGAAGUGCUGCCUUAUCAUUUAUCUGAAACAGUGGAUACAGAGAUAUGGAUUCGAGCACACGUACUAUUCUUUGAACGAUUACAUUGCAGAGCUACUUGGAGAUUCAAACAGCUGUCUAAAGUGUGGAUUAAGUGCUAAACAAUAAC